Molecule: non-coding RNA, 273 nt
Organism: Oryza punctata
Lineage: Eukaryota; Viridiplantae; Streptophyta; Magnoliopsida; Poales; Poaceae
Source: Rfam
GAUUUCAACUGAAAAAGUCAUCAACAACAAAAUUGUAUAACUCAUCAAUAUCUAUAACUUUUAUUUUGAUCAUUUCUUCAUCUGAUAAAGUGAUAGUAACAUUGUUCACAAAAUUUACAUAUCUCUCAUAUGGUUUUAUAAACUAUAAGAGAUAUGCAAAUUUUGUGAACAAUGUUACUAUCACUUUGUCGGAUGAAGAAAUGAUCAAAAUAAAAGUUGUAUGUCUUGAUGAGUUCUACAAAUUUUAUGUUCAUGACUUUUUCAGCUGAAAUU